GAGCCCAGCCCUCCAGGGCACUGACUCCACUCUGGGGGGCUUCAUCUGACUCUGAAGUGAGUCUUGGGCACGGAAUAUGAAGCCUUUCACUGCUAGGGCCUCCAGGCCACGCCCACGCUGACGUGACAGCCGCGCCGGGAGUGGUAUCCCCACAGCACGCAGCUGGGUCACCUCGGGUCCGGCCGAUGUGCCUGCAGCCCCAGGUGCUUGGCUGUGGGAAGGGGCCAAAGCGGCAGAUCCUCAAGCGUAGAGCAGAGACAGCAGUGGAGUAGCAUGUCCCGUUCUGGGCAUGGAAGAGUCCAGCUGUCAGGGCCAUUAGUGUAACAGCUUCUACCAGUCUGACUAUACUGAAUUCAGUUCCCCCAAGCCUUGAAUUUAGGGAUGUUUAAACCCUCAGAGCAGCUGCUCUCUUGCUGAGCUCUCGCUAAGCCGUAUGUAUAACACUGCUCCUGAAUGGAUCCAUCUGCAGGGAUUGAACCUGCGAUCUCUGGCUCUAGAAACGUGGCUGUGACUGUCUGAGCUGACGGACCAAGUCUGUUAGCUUACCCGGUAACACUCGUAAACCUGUGUACGCGGUGUCACCCCUAAGGGAGACGAAGUCGCACCGUUAACACAGGUCACAUGUGGCAGG
Molecule: non-coding RNA, 631 nt
Organism: Chelonoidis abingdonii (Abingdon island giant tortoise)
Lineage: Eukaryota; Metazoa; Chordata; Testudines; Testudinidae
Source: RefSeq, a predicted model, not a curated record